Long non-coding RNA from Frieseomelitta varia, 1859 nucleotides. RefSeq lists it as uncharacterized. The record is from RefSeq and is a predicted model, not a curated record. The transcript is spliced from 4 exons. Lineage: Eukaryota; Metazoa; Arthropoda; Insecta; Hymenoptera; Apidae.
CUCGAAUCACGAGAACAUGAGUACCAAUCGAUUACGCAUGAGAAUCACCGCCGAGAAUCGAUCGUUACUAACACAUCGAUAAACGGAUAAGUAGAGUUCGCUGUACAAGUGCAUAUGCAAAAUUUGACAGAACUAUGAUCGAAUACCACAAUUCGUGGAAAUAGUGCGAGAACAAAAAGGAAACGAUCUAUCAUAAUACACAUUAUCAUAAAUUUUUUAAUUUACAAAUUUAUAAAUUUGUAUUACUGUUUUUCAAUAAUAUUUGUGUUACUGUUUUUCUGUAUUUUUUUUAGGUUAUAGAAGUGAUCAAUAUGGCUUCCGUGCAGCUCGUAUAAAACUAAACGCCUGACCAUCGAUGUUCAAAGCAUUAUAUAACAAGACAAAUUGCAGUAGAGUCACUUUUACCUGUCACAACAUUGACAAGAACUCUCACGAUGGUACAUACGAUGCCUUCGUACGUAACGUUAAGCAUAAAGAUACUUUUUAUGGACGCAAUAUAGUAAUACCGGCUAAUGAACAUGAUCAGCUUUCCAUGCUCCUUAUUUACCGUGGUUCUACCGCAAAAUAUUAUACCCGCGUGCACGCUCGUGUUCAUGUAAGCGAAGAAGCAGCAGUUUAGACAAAUAUCCCUUGUACCUUCGAGCAACAAACGCUGAACCACUAUCCAUGAACCAAUAAUAAUCAGAACCGUUACCUAACAAGUAAUCGGAUUACACUGGCAAAGCUUGGAGUUAUGUUUGAAGUCGGUGACGUCAAGGUAUUGAUAUUUUUAACCCACAGAAUGCCAAUCUGAGUCAGAAAAUUGCCAAUAUUUGCCAUUUUCUUUCUUUUACUUCCAGGAAAGGUGUGAGUAAUAGCAUACAGUGUGAGAAGUUUUCAAACUCUGCAAGUAUAAUGAAAAUCAAUUCGACAGCGAACAUUUGUGUUAAACAUCAUAUUAGUUGUGUCAUGAUGUCAAAAAAAUGAGAGAAAAUCUUUAUUAUGGUUCAAAGACCGUAGAAAGCGAGAGAUUCGUAAUUCGUGAGCGCUGUUAUGUAUAAAAUAAAAGGAGCAUUAUAAUGCUACGAAUAAUGAACCUGUACUAUACGUUUGCGUGCAUCUGCGAACAACUAUCUUGCGUACUGAAUUCAAUUAUCAGUAACACGAGUACUCUCCGAGAAGACGUUGACGACAACAUCUCGGACAAACACACGACGGACAGUUUAGUGACAAUUAUACUAAUGAAUACGCCAAUGGCAAUGCGUAUACUUCAUUAACAUAAAGCCGGUAGAGAAAAAUGUUAAUGGAAACGCUGAUAAAGCUAGACUUUCUGUGAGUAUGAUUUUUAUCUCAAGUGCAACGAUGCGGACGCGACAUUUGCAUCUCUCGUUAUUUCGAUACUAGUGAUGAAUAAUUUCGCGAUAUGUUCAAUUUUCUUUGAUAGAAAAAAUCUCGUUACGUUUUAAAUGUCUUUCGUAACAAUAAUUUAUGAUUUCAUAACUCUAUCCGAGCUUAUCAAUAUUUAUGUUUAAAUACGGUUUCGCUUAUCAUUCGUUCAAUAAAAGAACGUUAAUGUAUUCUAAAGAGGAAAAACCAAUGAGGAAAGAUCAAUGAAUUAAACUUUGAACGAAUGAUCUAGACAAAGACUUUAGAUAUUAAAGGACGUUUAUUUCUUUACUUGUUGAUUUCUCUGAGAUAAUCAUUACUAUUGAAUCUAUACUUGUAUAUACGAAAUCAUGGAAAUAAUAUAUCUGAUUAAAGACGCAUGAAAUUAGAAGAUUAAUAGAUAUCGUUUGAAGAUUAUUUCAUUACGGUGUUUCUAUAGUUAAUAAAUAUUCAUUUUCAUUAUUUUUACUAUUUCUCUGUGCAAUGCAUUACAU